RNAcentral lists this ribosomal RNA (235 nucleotides) under uncultured bacterium. Its description in RNAcentral is "partial 16S ribosomal RNA". It matches the Rfam family "Bacterial small subunit ribosomal RNA", at positions 118 to 347 of the family's 1533-position model. The record is from RNAcentral.
UGAGGAACAUGACCUUCGGCGGGGGAUAGCCGGCCCAACGGCCGGGUAAUACCGCGUACGACCAUUUGGGGACAUCCCCGAGUGGUGAAAGCAGCAAUGCGCCGAUGGAGUGCCUCGCGGCCUAUCAGCUAGUUGGUGGGGUAACGGCUCACCAAGGCAACGGACGGGUAGCUGGUCUGAGAGGAUGGCCAGCCACAUUGGGACUGAGACACGGCCCAGACUCCUACGGGAGNAG